RNAcentral lists this ribosomal RNA (443 nucleotides) under uncultured bacterium. RNAcentral's name for it is "partial 16S ribosomal RNA". It matches the Rfam family "Bacterial small subunit ribosomal RNA", at positions 338 to 795 of the family's 1533-position model. The record is from RNAcentral.
CCUACGGGAGGCAGCAGUGGGGAAUAUUGGGCAAUGGGCGCAAGCCUGACCCAGCAACGCCGCGUGAAGGAAGAAGGCUUUCGGGUUGUAAACUUCUUUUGUCAGGGACGAAGCAAGUGACGGUACCUGACGAAUAAGCCACGGCUAACUACGUGCCAGCAGCCGCGGUAAUACGUAGGUGGCAAGCGUUAUCCGGAUUUAUUGGGUGUAAAGGGCGUGUAGGCGGGAAUGCAAGUCAGAUGUGAAAACUAUGGGCUCAACCCAUAGCCUGCAUUUGAAACUGUAUUUCUUGAGUGCUGGAGAGGCAAUCGGAAUUCCGUGUGUAGCGGUGAAAUGCGUAGAUAUACGGAGGAACACCAGUGGCGAAGGCGGAUUGCUGGACAGUAACUGACGCUCAUACACGAAAGCGUGGGGAGCAAACAGGAUUAGAUACCCCUGUAGUC